Carica papaya (papaya) is the source of this 1169-nucleotide non-coding RNA. Lineage: Eukaryota; Viridiplantae; Streptophyta; Magnoliopsida; Brassicales; Caricaceae. The record is from RefSeq and is a predicted model, not a curated record.
AGCCAAACUCUCCAGCUACAUUGAUUCCCCUACCAGGUUCACUCCACUCUGCCUAGAAAAACAUUAUCUCGUAAUCCCUCUCUCCUCUGCGGUUCUGCUUUCACCACAAAAAGGUGAAAGGUGGGCAAAUGCAAGCCGUAAUAGCAGUCAUGGCGACGCACACCAUCCUCGCAGCAACAUCAUCUCACAUUUCGUUCGCCCCAUUCGCAAGCCCUGCGUCGUCACCGUCGCAUCCUCUCCGAACCUCAUUCCUUGUGGUCCCCCUCAAGCUCCAUCGACAGUCUAUAUCUCUCUCUGCUGUAGCUCCGAAGCCCUUCUCUGUUGUGGCUGCCACCAAGAAAGCUGUUGCUGUCCUCAAGGGUAACUCCAGUGUCGAAGGCGUUGUCACGUUAACCCAAGAAGACGACGGUCCUACAACUGUGAACGUUCGUGUUACUGGGCUUACUCCAGGACUGCAUGGAUUCCACUUACAUGAGUAUGGUGAUACAACAAAUGGGUGCAUGUCUACAGGAGCACAUUUCAAUCCGAACAAUAUGACUCAUGGUGCUCCUGGUGAUGAAAUCCGUCAUGCGGGUGACCUGGGAAACAUAAUUGCUAAUGCUGAUGGGGUGGCAGAGGCAACAAUCAUGGACAGUCAGAUACCAUUAAGUGGACCUAAUUCAGUAGUUGGAAGAGCAUUUGUAGUUCAUGAGCUUGAGGAUGACCUUGGAAAGGGUGGCCAUGAACUUAGUCUAACCACUGGGAAUGCAGGCGGAAGAUUAGCUUGUGACCAAAACUCAAGAAGGACGAUUAGUCAUGCUGAGGCUCGAAACACGUGAUACUUCCUGGACUGCCCUUUCCACUAGCACCCUUGAUACAUUAUGGUUCUAUAACAGAAGGUGUCGUUGGCUUAACUCCAGUGUGAGUCAUGUUCCGAAAUCGGUGUGGUUUUCAGCAUGGGUUCUUACUUUCAACCAUUUCUCAUAUAGAGCAAGAUGCUUCAAAGUUGAGGAUAUAACAAAAAAUCUUGGAGAUGGAAGGUGAGAGCCAAAUAAUGUUUGUAGAUUUUUAUCUUGUUUGUUGGUGUUCUUAUGCAAUAAACUCAGAAGAGGUGACCAUGCUUUGCAUGUCUAAUGAAUAAUAAGAAAUGUUUGGCUUUGAAUGAGUUCUUGUUCAGACUUGUUAUAAAA